This 480-nucleotide ribosomal RNA is filed under the name uncultured bacterium. Its description in RNAcentral is "partial 16S ribosomal RNA". It matches the Rfam family "Bacterial small subunit ribosomal RNA", at positions 28 to 507 of the family's 1533-position model. The record is from RNAcentral.
GAUGAACGCUAGCGGCAGGCCUAACACAUGCAAGUCGAGGGGGAUGUUACUUUCGGGUAACUGAGACCGGCGUACGGGUGCGUAACGCGUAUACAAUCUGCCUUUCACCGGGGGAUAGCCCGAAGAAAUUUGGAUUAAUACCCCAUAGUAUAGUAAUACGGCAUCGUGAUGCUAUUAAAGCUUAGGUGGUGAAAGAUGAGUAUGCGUUCUAUUAGCUAGUUGGAGAGGUAACGGCUCCCCAAGGCGAUGAUAGAUAGGGGUUCUGAGAGGGAUGUCCCCCACACUGGUACUGAGAUACGGACCAGACUCCUACGGGAGGCAGCAGUGAGGAAUAUUGGACAAUGGUCGGAAGACUGAUCCAGCCAUGCCGCGUGCAGGAUGAAGGUCUUAUGGAUUGUAAACUGCUUUUGUAAGGGAAGAAUAAGGGCUACGCGUAGUUUGAUGACGGUACCUUACGAAUAAGCAUCGGCUAACUCCGUG